AUCCCAGAUAAGCUUGAACGUAAUGUUAAGUGCUUAUUCUGAUUCAUGGGAGGCCAAAAUUGAUUACUGGAAGUUUCGCUGAUAAAUGCCGAUUUCUGACUCAUAUCAAGGCGUUUACUAGUAACUUUUCCAUACACUU
Molecule: non-coding RNA, 139 nt
Organism: Cajanus cajan (pigeon pea)
Lineage: Eukaryota; Viridiplantae; Streptophyta; Magnoliopsida; Fabales; Fabaceae
Source: Rfam